UACGUAGGGGGCAAGCGUUGUUCGGAAUUACUGGGCGUAAAGGGCGUACAGGCGGUUGUGUAAGUCGGUUGUGAAAUUCUUGGGCUCAACCUGAGACUUGCGUCCGAAACUACAUGACUUGAGAUCAGGAGAGGAGAGUGGAAUAUGUGGUGUAGCGGUGAAAUGCGUAGAUAUCACAUAGAACACCGGUGGCGAAGGCGGCUCUCUGGCCUGAUUCUGACGCUGACGCGCGAAAGCUAGGGUAGCGAACGGGAUUAGAUACCCCGGUAGUCCUAGCCGUAAACGAUGGGUACUAAGUGUAGGAGGUAUCGACCCCUUCUGUGCUGUAGCAAACGCAUUAAGUACCCCGCCUGGGGACUACGGCCGCAAGGCUAAAACUCAAAGUAAUUGACGGGGGCCCGCACAAGCGGUGGAGCAUGUCGCUCAAUUCGAAGCAACGCGAAGAACCUUAUCCAGUGGCUUGACAUCCUCUGACAACCGUGGAAACACGGCUUUCUCUUAUGAGACAGAGUGACAGGUGCUGCAUGGCAGUCGUCAGCUCGUGUCGUGAGAUGUUGGGUUAAGUCCCGCAACGAGCGCAACCCUUAUCUCUAGUUGCCAGCGGGUUAUGCCGGGGACUCUAGAGAGACUGCCGACGAUAAGUCGGAGGAAGGUGGGGAUGACGUCAUGUCCUCAUGGCCCUUAUGCCCUGGGCUGCACACGUGCUACAAUGGCCGGUACAGCGGGUUGUGAAACCGCGAGGUGGAACUAAUCCCUAAAAGCCGGUCUCAGUUGGGAUUGUAGUCUGCAACUCGACUACAUGAACGUGGAAUCGCUAGUAAUCGCGGAUCAGCACGCCGCGGUGAAUACGUUCCACGGGCCU
Molecule: ribosomal RNA, 862 nt
Filed under: uncultured bacterium
Lineage: Bacteria
Description: SSU rRNA
Rfam family: Bacterial small subunit ribosomal RNA
Source: RNAcentral